Molecule: ribosomal RNA, 501 nt
Filed under: uncultured bacterium
Lineage: Bacteria
Description: SSU rRNA
Rfam family: Bacterial small subunit ribosomal RNA
Source: RNAcentral
AGGAUGAACGCUAGCGGCAGGCUUAAUACAUGCAAGUCGUGGGGCAGCAUGGUGUAGCAAUACACUGAUGGCGACCGGCAAACGGGUGCGGAACACGUACGCAACCUUCCUUUAACUGGAGAAUAGCCCGGGGAAACCCGGAUUAAUACUCCGUAACAUUAUGAAGUGGCAUCACUUUAUAAUUAUAGCUCCGGCGGUUGAAGAUGGGCGUGCGUCUGAUUAGGUAGUUGGCGGGUAACGGCCCACCAAGCCUACGAUCAGUAACUGGUGUGAGAGCACGACCAGUCACACGGGCACUGAGACACGGGCCCGACUCCUACGGGAGGCAGCAGUAAGGAAUAUUGGUCAAUGGACGCAAGUCUGAACCAGCCAUGCCGCGUGGAGGAUGAAGGUCCUCUGGAUUGUAAACUUCUUUUAUUUGGGAAGAACCCCGAUUUCUAUUGGGGUUGACGGUACCAGAUGAAUAAGCACCGGCUAACUCCGUGCCAGCAGCCGCGGUAA